GGAGCAACGCCGCGUGAGUGAAGAAGGUUUUCGGAUCGUAAAACUCUGUUGUGAGGGAAGAACAAGUACCAAUUAACUACUGGUACCUUGACGGUACCUCACCAGAAAGCCACGGCUAACUACGUGCCAGCAGCCGCGGUAAUACGUAGGUGGCAAGCGUUGUCCGGAAUUAUUGGGCGUAAAGCGCGCGCAGGCGGUCCUUUAAGUCUGAUGUGAAAGCCCACGGCUCAACCGUGGAGGGUCAUUGGAAACUGGGGGACUUG
This 263-nucleotide ribosomal RNA is filed under the name Streptococcus pneumoniae. Its description in RNAcentral is "partial 16S ribosomal RNA". It matches the Rfam family "Bacterial small subunit ribosomal RNA", at positions 388 to 644 of the family's 1533-position model. Lineage: Bacteria; Bacillati; Bacillota; Bacilli; Lactobacillales; Streptococcaceae. The record is from RNAcentral.